Molecule: long non-coding RNA, 1277 nt
Filed under: Homo sapiens (human)
Lineage: Eukaryota; Metazoa; Chordata; Mammalia; Primates; Hominidae
Description: HSALNT0388338
Source: RNAcentral
UCUGUCUGAAAAAAAAAAAAAAAGAGAGUUGAAAUUGAAAAAAAAUAGACUGCUGGCAAGAAAACUAAACCAUGUUUAUAAAACUUCCAUUUAAAUGCUCACUAAAAUGGACAAAGAAAAACAAUACUAGGGAAGAAAAUAACGUAGACAUGAAAUUUAAAAAGGCCCCAAAUUCAUGGUACAAACACUGAAAAGCACUCAGUCAAACUGAAACUGGAAGAGGAUAUCCUACCUUGAGACUCACACGCAGCUCUCAGCUCUGGCACAUGGUGCAGGGUAGUGGUGAUGGCAGGUACAAUUCUGAAAGUGGUGUUGGCAGGUAAGAGGUGGGUGUUUGAGGGACAGAGUUUACCAGAUUCUGAGAAGAAGGCAGGGCCCUUCUAUCUGACCCUGAGUUAUACACAUGAUAGGAUGUGGAUUCAUAGAGUGUUUUGUACUAAUGUUUGCAUUUUACUUCCACCUAAGUAACUUUCUAGCCCCCAGGGGACGGGCAAAGGAAGAAAAGGUGAAGAUGAAUGACCAGACAUGUGGGUUGCCCUGCUCAGCUGUGUCAGAACGGCUUGAUCCUCAGCCCCGCACAGGACCACUCUCUGGCAUGCACCAGCGGAGAAACUGGAGGCACACUGGCGCAGGAGCAGCCCCAGGCUUGAGGGCUUUUCCAGCCCUGUCUGUUUACCCACGUGAUGGUUUGCUACGGUUUUUAAUAGCUGGUAAAGUGAACACCCAGUUCAUUCUCCUCAUUAUCUCCUGGAUUCCCGCCUACCGCCAUCAGUCAGUAUGCCCUACAUUUUUCUUGACGUGAAGCACAGCCUGGAGAAUAUUCCCUGAAACAGCUCUUUAAACGCAAUCCAAAAAAGGCAUCAUGCUGACUUAACCAUGUUAUGAGGGAAAGGAUCCAAAUUAUACCACUGUGUCGUAAAAAUUAUUAUGACCUGAAGACAUUUGAGAAUCAACAGAUGCAGAAAGAGGCUUUGUCUGAAUACUCCCUUAUCUGACUAAAAGCAGAAACUUCUGGGAGUGAGACUGCCACUAGCCCCCUCUCUGGAGGAGUUUCACGGCUGUGAAGAAGAUGAAGAAGACCACAAACAAACAUGAUGAAGAACCAUCUUGUCUCCUGGUUUGUUCUCCUAAAAAUACAUUUGUCUUUCCUAAAUAAACCCAUUUGUUCUUCCAGUAGAAGCCUUUUCCUCCCUGCUCCUUUACCCUUAUUAAGGUAGGCUUGUAAAUCCCUGUCUUUAGUUAUGGAUAAAGUCAUUUUCUUUGUGGGUUCCUAGUAU